UGAUCCGGAAUGCCAUUUUCGCCCUGCCGAUGCUGGCCCUCGUGGGCUGUGUGACAACGCAGGAAACCGACAUCAUCAUCGUCCACCCGGAAUCGGUGCAGAUCGCGGCGCAUGAGGCCUGCUUCGCCGAGCAGCGUAUCGC
This 142-nucleotide non-coding RNA is filed under the name Chaetoceros curvisetus. Lineage: Eukaryota; Bacillariophyta; Thalassiosirophyceae; Chaetocerotales; Chaetocerotaceae. The record is from RNAcentral.